This 251-nucleotide ribosomal RNA is filed under the name uncultured bacterium. RNAcentral's name for it is "partial 16S ribosomal RNA". It matches the Rfam family "Bacterial small subunit ribosomal RNA", at positions 526 to 776 of the family's 1533-position model. The record is from RNAcentral.
CGGGGGGGGCAAGCGUUGUUCGGAAUUACUGGGCGGAAAGGGCUCGUAGGUGGCCAACUAAGUCAGACGUGAAAUCCCUCGGCUUAACCGGGGAACUGCGUCUGAUACUGGAUGGCUUGAGAUUGGGAGAGGGACGCGGAAUUCCAGGUGUAGCGGUGAAAUGCGUAGAUAUCUGGAGGAACACCGGUGGCGAAGGCGGCGUCCUGGACCAACACUGACACUGAGGAGCGAAAGCCAGGGGAGCAAACGGG